CGAAAGCGUAGGGAGCAAACGGGAUUAGGUACCCCGGUAGUCUACGCCGUAAACGAUGCGCACUAGGUUCGAGGGCCACUGACGGCCAUCGAACCGAAACAAAAGCGAUAAGUGCGCCGCCUGGGGAGUACGGCCGCAAGGCUAAAACUCAAAGGAAUUGACGGGGGCUCACACAAGCGGUGGAGCAUGUGGAUUAAUUCGAAGCAACGCGAAGAACCUUACCUGGGUUUGACAUCCACGGAUGCCGUCCAUGAAAGUGGAGCCGGCUGCCGCAAGGUGAAACGUGGACAGGUGCUGCAUGGCUGUCGUCAGCUCGUGCUGUGAAGUGUCGGGUUAAGUCCCUUAACGAGCGAAACCCUUGUCGCUAGUUGCCAGCGGGUCAUGCCGGGAACUCUAGCGAGACUGCCGGCGUCAAGCCGGAGGAAGGCGGGGACGACGCCAAGUCAUCAUGGCCUUUAUGUCCAGGGUGUCACACGUGCUACAAUGGGGUGUAACAAAGCGACGCGAUACCGUAAGGUGGAGCAAAUCGCAGAAACCAUCCCUCAGUUCAGAUUGGGGUCUGCAAUUCGACCCCAUGAAGUUGGAAUCGCUAGUAAUCGCGGAUCAGCCACGCCGCGGUGAAUAUGUUCCUGAGCCCUGUACACACCGCCCGUCAAGUCAUGGGAGCUGGGAGUUCCCGAAGUCGCCACGAUUCGGUGGUGCCGACGGAAAGCCUGGUGACUGGGACUAAGUCGUAACAAGGUAGCCGUA
This 750-nucleotide ribosomal RNA is filed under the name uncultured bacterium. RNAcentral describes it as "bacterial SSU rRNA". It matches the Rfam family "Bacterial small subunit ribosomal RNA", at positions 754 to 1504 of the family's 1533-position model. The record is from RNAcentral.